RNAcentral lists this ribosomal RNA (253 nucleotides) under uncultured bacterium. RNAcentral's name for it is "partial 16S ribosomal RNA". It matches the Rfam family "Bacterial small subunit ribosomal RNA", at positions 524 to 776 of the family's 1533-position model. The record is from RNAcentral.
UACAGAGGGGGCAAACGUUAUUCGGAAUUAUUGGGCGUAAAGGGCGCGUAGGCGGCCAUCUAAGUCAGACGUGAAAUCCCCCGGCUUAACCUGGGAACUGCGUCUGAUACUGGAAGGCUCGAGUUUGGGAGAGGGAUGCAGAAUUCCAGGUGUAGCGGUGAAAUGCGUAGAUAUCUGGAGGAAUACCGGUGGCGAAGGCGGCAUCCUGGACCAACACUGACGCUGAGGCGCGAAAGCUAGGGGAGCAAACGGG